AGAGGUUUGAUCCUGGCUCAGGAUGAACGCUGGCGGCGUGCCUAACACAUGCAAGUCGAGCGAUUCUCUUCGGAGAAGAGCGGCGGACGGGUGAGUAACGCGUGGGUAACCUGCCCUGUACACACGGAUAACGUACCGAAAGGUAUGCUAAUACGAGAUAAUAUGCUUUUAUCGCAUGGUAGAAGUAUCAAAGCUCCGGCGGUACAGGAUGGACCCGCGUCUGAUUAGCUAGUUGGUAAGGUAACGGCUUACCAAGGCGACGAUCAGUAGCCGACCUGAGAGGGUGAUCGGCCACAUUGGAACUGAGACACGGUCCAAACUCCUACGGGAGGCAGCAGUGGGGAAUAUUGCACAAUGGGCGAAAGCCUGAUGCAGCAACGCCGCGUGAGCGAUGAAGGCCUUCGGGUCGUAAGGCUCUGUCCUCAAGGAAGAUAAUGACGGUACUUGAGGAGGAAGCCCCGGCUAACUACGUG
Molecule: ribosomal RNA, 473 nt
Filed under: uncultured bacterium
Lineage: Bacteria
Description: bacterial SSU rRNA
Rfam family: Bacterial small subunit ribosomal RNA
Source: RNAcentral